CUGAAAAUGGAGGACGUCAUGUCAGACAAGUUUCAAACCGUAAAAGGCGAAGCAAUUAAGAGAGCUGAUAUAAUUGCUGCAACCCUUGGAUCAGGGAUUGCUUCUGGCAAGGAGGAGGUCAUAUCAG
This 127-nucleotide non-coding RNA is filed under the name Pteridomonas danica. Lineage: Eukaryota; Dictyochophyceae; Pedinellales. The record is from RNAcentral.